This 2359-nucleotide long non-coding RNA is filed under the name Schizosaccharomyces pombe (fission yeast). The record is from RNAcentral. Lineage: Eukaryota; Fungi; Ascomycota; Schizosaccharomycetes; Schizosaccharomycetales; Schizosaccharomycetaceae.
UUCUGGUCUAAAGAACGAAUUUCCUGAAGAAGGGGACCCUCAAGGAUUUUAAAUUCAUUAUCGGAGAUUGUUUUUACAUCACUUAAAAUACUGCAAGCCCAUCUUCGGAGCUCAUCAUCUCUCGAGAAGAGAAGACUUAUGACACCUGGCACUAGGUUUUUCGAGAGCCGAAGAAAACCGGACUCAAGAAAUCUGUUUCGGAACAAGGGAAAGAUUUCUUUAUUAUGUAAAAUACGAGGAGAGUAUAAGAUUUCGUAGAAGGCGCAUAGUAUAGGUUUAGAGGCCGAGGACGUGUCGAUUUUAGGCACUGUUUUGAGAACUUCCUGUAACCGAAAAAUGUCCCAACUAUAAAUUUUCUCCAUUACAAUCUCAAGAGUAUUUGGGUCAAAGUGAAAAAUGUUUAAACAUAGACUUUUGAAAUCAUCUAAAGAUUGGUGAUAUUUAACUAUACAUUUGGGGCAUAACUGAAGGCGUUCGUUCAAAUGUUUUUUGAACCAUACCAGAUACUCGUUAUCAUUUUGAAAAGAAAAUAGAAAAAGACAUUCACGAACUGCUACUUGUAAUUUAGGAUCACAAACCCAAUGAGGGUUUUGUCUGUUAGUAUUUAGGUAUGAAAGCGCCAAAUGCAAAACUUUAUUGGACCCUUCGAAAGAUGGGUGUUUUUGAUUUUCCUGAAUUUUUCUUAUUAAUCUAUCAAAAGCCUCGUCAUUUUCCAUAACCACAAGCUAAUGCUGCAUUCUCACUCUCGAAGUAGACUUAUUAAAGCGCGACUGCAAUUUUUCAAAAUCUAGGUUUCUAAGGAAGUAAAUUACACUAUUCACUAUAAACAUUUAGUGCAACCAAUCAUUUGAUGUCCACACAGCACUCGAUUAUCGCAUUGAAAUAAAAUAGCCUUAAGAGAAAUUUUAAAUAAAAAAAUGAACGUAUAUUUUGAAAGUGUAUAUAAAUUCAUGUACCAAAAUCACGCUUCUUUAUUGUAAUUAAGAUAUAUAUGAUUAUCCGAAAUAUAUUUUAAACAUUACUAUAUAUAAUGUGACAACUUAAAAAACUUUCUUACCCAUUAUAAUCCGAAGUUUGUGAUUGUGUGUUUAAUUCCUAGUUUCAAAUAUGACUAUUUUCUUCACUGAGCAAAGAAUCACAGUUCAUUUUAUUCAGUAUAUUUAAAAAUUUUGCAGUAACAUGAUAUAUUCGUUUCAUAUAUUUCCUUUGUAAGGAUUUAAUUCGCAUGCAAUCUUUGCGUCAACAUACAAGCUUAAAUCAUUUUUGCUAGUUCUUUGUGAUAUUCAUACAUUAAUAAAAUAGACGUCAAGGAAUAAUCAAUCCUUGUUUUGAAUAAAAAUUUUCUUUUAAACUUUUAAGCUGUUCACGAAUUGACCUGCAACAAAGAAAAAAAAAAUAUUGAUCAAUCAUAUAACUUUUCUAUAUGACUUUGUCUCUCAAAUGAAUCAAAUAACCAUAAACAAAGCCGAAAACCAACUGGAUGUGAAAUUUUUAAAGAAAAUAUUCAGUCAAAAUUACUGAUUACCAUUUUUCUCAAAAAGCAAACGUGCGAGGCGCUUAUAGUCAGAAAGAAGAAGUUCAAUUUCACCGAUUUUAAGAUCGCUAGCAUCAGAAACAGUCAAAAAGCGUUCCAAAGGUGGGUCGCCCACGAAUUCUACAGAAUUGGAAGAAUCUUCUGAACUUUUGGCAGUGUGAUUGGCUACUUUACUAAGUAGAGAGGCAUAAGAUUUCUCAAGUGCUAGUCCCAGAUUUCUUAAAUUAGAUAAAGAUGAGCGAUUCACAGGGUAGGGUUCUGCACUCGGAUCAUGAAGCGAGUUAGAGGUCGAAACUGUUUCGCUAUUAGCUACCUCAAGUGAAAGAGGAUCAUCAGAGGGUUGAAUUGACGAUUGAGUUAAAAGAUUUGGACAAGCUCGAAGAAUAAAAGUAAGGGCUGCCUCAAAAGUUGUGAGACAGUAUCUUUGCUCUCCGCUUAAAAAAUCUGCAUUUCGAAAGCGUAACACAAAAUUCAGGUGCGAUAUUAAAUGAAAUCCGGGAUAACAGAGAAUGCAAUAUAUGGUCAAAUUUAAUAAAGAAUCAGCAUUCAAUUCUUCUUGAGGAAGUUGAGAGGCAUUCAAUAUACUUGAAUUAACGGUCAUAAAAGUGUUUAUUUUCGAUCUAGGUGUGUGUUGCUCAUCGAGAGCAAAAAAUGCUUCAGAGACUUCAUGUAACCGGUUUGUAAGUUUUUCAUCAUCAGGUAUUGGAAUGCAAUUGAUAAGUUCUUUCUUUUCUUCAGAAGCAAUAAAUUUUUUUAACAAGUCAUCUUUGGCAGCAUCCGUACUUGUAGAUAAACAGAAAAUCCUAACACAAUAUUAGUAAACAG